AUGCCCUCUGAAUUUGAGACUAGUGUUAAAGAAUUUAUGAAUUCGCAAAAGAAUUUCAAUGAUUUACUUGAAGAAAAAUUGCUUAAGGUUGAUGAAUUGGCUAGGAACGUUGAUAGAAUUUCUCUUGAUGUUGAUUCUUUGAAACUUAGAUCUAUUCCACCUAAGCAUGAUAUCAAUGAGUCUCUCAAAGCCAUGAGAAUUUCCAUUGAUGAGUGCAAAGAAAGAACCGCUAGGAUGCGUGCUAAGAAAGAUUGCUUUGUGAAAGCGUGUUCUUCUAGUUUCUAUGAAAACAAAGAUGAAGAUCUAAAAGUUAUUGAUGUGUCCCCUAUUAAAUCUUUGUUUUCCAAUAUGAAUCUUGAUAAUAAUGGGACUGAAUAUGAGCCACCUUUACCUAGAAGGCGUCCCAAAAAUUCGGAGUUUUUAGAUCUUGAUGCAAAAAUUGGUAAAAGUGGGAUUGAAGAGAUCAAAACUCUAUAUAUUAAUGAACCCACUAUUUUGGAUUUCAAGGAAUUUAAUUAUGAUAAUUGCUCUUUGAUAGAUUGUAUUUCCUUGUUGCAAUCUGUGCUAAAUUCUCCUCAUGCUUAUAGCCAAAAUAAAGCUUUUAUUAAACAUAUCGUUGAUGCUUUGAUGCAAUCUUAUGAAGAAAAACUUGAGUUGGAAAUUUCUAUCCCUAGAAAACUUUAUGAUGAGUGGGAACCUACUAUUAAAAUUAAAAUUAAAGAUCAUGAAUGCUAUGCUUUGUGUGAUUUGGGUGCUAGUGUUUCCACGAUUCCAAAAACUUUGUGUGAUUUGCUAGGAUUCCGUGAAUUUGAUGAUUGCUCUUUAAACUUACACCUUGCGGAUUCCACUAUUAAAAAACCUAUGGGAAGAAUUAAUUAUGUUCUUAUUGUUGCAAAUAUGAACUAUGUGCCCGUAGAUUUUAUUGUUCUUGAUAUAGACUGCAAUCCUUCAUGUCCUAUUAUUCUUGGUAGACCUUUCCUUAGAACGAUUGGUGCAAUCAUUUAUAUGAAGGAAGAGAAUAUUAGAUUCCAAUUUCCGUUAAGGAAAGGCAUGGAACACUUCAAUAGAAAGAAAAUAAAAUUACCUUAUGAAUUUUUUAUGAGAGCCACUUAUGGAUUUCCUACCAAAGAUGGCAAUACCUAG
Molecule: ribosomal RNA, 1143 nt
Filed under: Triticum aestivum (bread wheat)
Lineage: Eukaryota; Viridiplantae; Streptophyta; Magnoliopsida; Poales; Poaceae
Description: partial small subunit ribosomal RNA
Source: RNAcentral